CGAUGUCGGCUCAUCACAUCCUGGAGCGGCAGUACGUUCCAAGGGUUGGGCUGUUCGCCCAUUAAAGUGGUACGUGAGCUGGGUUCAGAACGUUAGUGUGAAACAGUUCGGUCCAUAUCCGGUGUAGGCGUUAGAGCAUUGAGAGGAGCGUCGGUUAGUACGAGAGGAUUGCCAACGAUAAACCAAUGGUGUACCAGUUCUUCUUCCAAGGGGAAACGCUGGGUAGCUAAGUUUGUAAUUAAUAACCGCUGAAAGCAUAUAAGUGGGAAGUAUACCUCAAGAUGAGUGCUCUAUUCCCUUUUUGGGAAGGAGACCGCGGGAAGAUAACCCGUUUGAUAGGCGUCAGGUCUAAGAUCAGCGAUGGUUUCAGCCGAGACGUACUAAAGGUCCUUAUAUUUUGAU
RNAcentral lists this ribosomal RNA (402 nucleotides) under Stephanosphaera pluvialis. Its description in RNAcentral is "partial large subunit ribosomal RNA". It matches the Rfam family "Bacterial large subunit ribosomal RNA", at positions 2527 to 2925 of the family's 2925-position model. Lineage: Eukaryota; Viridiplantae; Chlorophyta; Chlorophyceae; Chlamydomonadales; Haematococcaceae. The record is from RNAcentral.